RNAcentral lists this ribosomal RNA (1451 nucleotides) under Klebsiella pneumoniae. RNAcentral's name for it is "bacterial SSU rRNA". It matches the Rfam family "Bacterial small subunit ribosomal RNA". Lineage: Bacteria; Pseudomonadati; Pseudomonadota; Gammaproteobacteria; Enterobacterales; Enterobacteriaceae. The record is from RNAcentral.
GGGCAUGGCGGCGGCCUACCAUGCAAGUCGAGCGGUAGCACAGAGAGCUUGCUCUCGGGUGACGAGCGGCGGACGGGUGAGUAAUGUCUGGGAAACUGCCUGAUGGAGGGGGAUAACUACUGGAAACGGUAGCUAAUACCGCAUAACGUCGCAAGACCAAAGUGGGGGACCUUCGGGCCUCAUGCCAUCAGAUGUGCCCAGAUGGGAUUAGCUAGUAGGUGGGGUAACGGCUCACCUAGGCGACGAUCCCUAGCUGGUCUGAGAGGAUGACCAGCCACACUGGAACUGAGACACGGUCCAGACUCCUACGGGAGGCAGCAGUGGGGAAUAUUGCACAAUGGGCGCAAGCCUGAUGCAGCCAUGCCGCGUGUGUGAAGAAGGCCUUCGGGUUGUAAAGCACUUUCAGCGGGGAGGAAGGCGAUAAGGUUAAUAACCUUGUCGAUUGACGUUACCCGCAGAAGAAGCACCGGCUAACUCCGUGCCAGCAGCCGCGGUAAUACGGAGGGUGCAAGCGUUAAUCGGAAUUACUGGGCGUAAAGCGCACGCAGGCGGUCUGUCAAGUCGGAUGUGAAAUCCCCGGGCUCAACCUGGGAACUGCAUUCGAAACUGGCAGGCUAGAGUCUUGUAGAGGGGGGUAGAAUUCCAGGUGUAGCGGUGAAAUGCGUAGAGAUCUGGAGGAAUACCGGUGGCGAAGGCGGCCCCCUGGACAAAGACUGACGCUCAGGUGCGAAAGCGUGGGGAGCAAACAGGAUUAGAUACCCUGGUAGUCCACGCCGUAAACGAUGUCGAUUUGGAGGUUGUGCCCUUGAGGCGUGGCUUCCGGAGCUAACGCGUUAAAUCGACCGCCUGGGGAGUACGGCCGCAAGGUUAAAACUCAAAUGAAUUGACGGGGGCCCGCACAAGCGGUGGAGCAUGUGGUUUAAUUCGAUGCAACGCGAAGAACCUUACCUGGUCUUGACAUCCACAGAACUUUCCAGAGAUGGAUUGGUGCCUUCGGGAACUGUGAGACAGGUGCUGCAUGGCUGUCGUCAGCUCGUGUUGUGAAAUGUUGGGUUAAGUCCCGCAACGAGCGCAACCCUUAUCCUUUGUUGCCAGCGGUUCGGCCGGGAACUCAAAGGAGACUGCCAGUGAUAAACUGGAGGAAGGUGGGGAUGACGUCAAGUCAUCAUGGCCCUUACGACCAGGGCUACACACGUGCUACAAUGGCAUAUACAAAGAGAAGCGACCUCGCGAGAGCAAGCGGACCUCAUAAAGUAUGUCGUAGUCCGGAUUGGAGUCUGCAACUCGACUCCAUGAAGUCGGAAUCGCUAGUAAUCGUAGAUCAGAAUGCUACGGUGAAUACGUUCCCGGGCCUUGUACACACCGCCCGUCACACCAUGGGAGUGGGUUGCAAAAGAAGUAGGUAGCUUAACCUUCGGGAGGGCGCUUACCCACUUGUGAUUCCGAAUGGG